CCUACGGGUGGCUGCAGUGGGGAAUAUUGCGCAAUGGGCGAAAGCCUGACGCAGCGACGCCGCGUGAGGGAUGAAGGUCUUCGGAUCGUAAACCUCUGUCAGCAGGGAAGAACGGUCACUGUGCUAAUCAGCAGUGAAUUGACGGUACCUGCAAAGGAAGCACCGGCUAACUCCGUGCCAGCAGCCGCGGUAAUACGGAUGGUGCGAGCGUUAAUCGGAAUUACUGGGCGGAAAGCGCUCGUAGGCGGUAUGUCAAGUCAAGGGUGAAAUCCCCGCGCUCAACGUGGGAACUGCCUUUGAAACUGGCACACUGGAUUGUGUGUGAGGCUAGUGGAAUUCCAGGUGUAGGAGUGAAAUCCGUAUAUAUCUGGAGGAACAUCAGUGGCGACGGCGACUCUCUGGCCCAUACCUGACGCUGAGGAGCGACAGCGUGGGUAGCAAACAGGAUUAGAUACCCGAGUAGUC
RNAcentral lists this ribosomal RNA (465 nucleotides) under uncultured bacterium. RNAcentral describes it as "partial 16S ribosomal RNA". It matches the Rfam family "Bacterial small subunit ribosomal RNA", at positions 338 to 795 of the family's 1533-position model. The record is from RNAcentral.